GUAAACGGCGGCCGUAACUAUAACGGUCCUAAGGUAGCGAAAUUCCUUGUCGGGUAAGUUCCGACCCGCACGAAAGGCGUAACGAUUUGGGCACUGUCUCAACGAGGGACCCGGUGAAAUUGAAAUACCUGUGAAGAUGCAGGUUACCCGCGACUGGACAGAAAGACCCCAUGGAGCUUUACUGCAACCUAAGAUUGAACUUAGUUAAUGAAUGUACAGGAUAGGUGGGAGACGUAGAACCUAGGACGCCAGUUUUAGGGGAGUCGUUGUUGGGAUACCACCCUUUCAUUAAUUGAUUUCUAACGGGCCGAGUAACGACCGGCCGGACAGUCUUAGGCGGGCAGUUUGACUGGGGCGGUCGCCUCCUAAAGAGUAACGGAGGCGCCCAAAGGUUCCCUCAGAGCGGACGGAAAUCGCUCGAAGAGUGUAAAGGCAGAAGGGAGCUUGACUGCGAGACGGACAGGUCGAGCAGGGACGAAAGUCGGGCUUAGUGAUCCGGUGGUGCCGAGUGGAAGGGCCAUCGCUCAACGGAUAAAAGCUACCCUGGGGAUAACAGGCUAAUCUCUCCCAAGAGUCCAUAUCGACGGGGAGGUUUGGCACCUCGAUGUCGGCUCAUCACAUCCUGGGGCUGAAGCAGGUCCCAAGGGUUGGGCUGUUCGCCCAUUAAAGUGGUACGUGAGCUGGGUUCAGAACGUCGUGAGACAGUUCGGUCCAUAUCCAUCGCGGGCGUAAGAUACAUGAGGGAGGCUGCUCCUAGUACGAGAGGACCGGAGUGGACGGACCAACGGUGUACCGGUUGUCCUGCCAAGGGCACGGCCGGGUAGCUGCGUCCGGAAGGGAUAAACGCUGAAAGCAUCUAAGCGUGAAGCCCGUCCCGAGAUGAAGUAUCUCAUUCCUAUAAGGAAGUAAGACCCCUUGAAGAAGACAAGGUUGAUAGGCUGGAUGUGGAAGCACAGCAAUGUGUGCAGCUGACCAGCACUAAUCGGUCGAGGGCUUGACUUA
RNAcentral lists this ribosomal RNA (1002 nucleotides) under human metagenome. RNAcentral's name for it is "bacterial LSU rRNA". It matches the Rfam family "Bacterial large subunit ribosomal RNA", at positions 1923 to 2925 of the family's 2925-position model. The record is from RNAcentral.